AGAAGCUUAGGAUAAUUUUAUUAAACCAGGGGCCUUCAAAGCCCAAAAUGAGAGCGGAACCCUCUUAGCUUCUGA
RNAcentral lists this transfer RNA (75 nucleotides) under Karusasaurus polyzonus. RNAcentral describes it as "tRNA-Trp". Lineage: Eukaryota; Metazoa; Chordata; Lepidosauria; Squamata; Cordylidae. The record is from RNAcentral.